AAUCAACGCUGGCGGCGUGCCUAACACAUGCAAGUCGAACGCGAAAGCCCUUUCGGGGGUAAGUAGAGUGGCGUCCGGGUGAGUAACACGUAGGUAAUCUACCUUCGGGUGGGGAAUAACUCGCCGAAAGGCGAGCUAAUACCGCAUAAUGCAGCGGCACCUAAUGGUGAUUAGUUGUUAAAGCGGGGGAUCGUAAGACCUCGCGCCUGAAGAGGAGCCUGCGGCAGAUUAGCUAGNGGUGAGGUAAUGGCUCACCAAGGCUUCGAUCUGUAGCUGGUCUGAGAGGACGGCCAGCCACACUGGCACUGACACACGGGCCAGACUCCUACGGGAGGCAGCAGUGGGGAAUUUUGGGCAAUGGGCGCAAGCCUGACCCAGCAACGCCGCGUGAGGGAGGAAAUCCUUCGGGAUGUAAACCUCACAAGCAAGGGAAGAGAGCUCAGGACCAAAUAAGUCCUGAGUCCGACGGUACCUUGCGUAAGCCACGGCUAACUACGUG
Molecule: ribosomal RNA, 499 nt
Filed under: uncultured bacterium
Lineage: Bacteria
Description: bacterial SSU rRNA
Rfam family: Bacterial small subunit ribosomal RNA
Source: RNAcentral